GGGUUUUUGGGUUGAGUUGAG
This 21-nucleotide non-coding RNA is filed under the name Arabidopsis thaliana (thale cress). Lineage: Eukaryota; Viridiplantae; Streptophyta; Magnoliopsida; Brassicales; Brassicaceae. The record is from RNAcentral.